Molecule: long non-coding RNA, 5202 nt
Filed under: Sus scrofa (pig)
Lineage: Eukaryota; Metazoa; Chordata; Mammalia; Artiodactyla; Suidae
Description: lncRNA (ENSSSCG00065030513.1)
Source: RNAcentral
GGGUUGACACUCUGGGUGGCAUAAGCUUCAUCACCUCCUGGACUUCUGUGAUCUUGAAUUAAGUCAUGUCCUUUGUAACGCUGAGUUUCCUCUUGUGUAAAAUGGGAGGAAGCUUUCCUUGAUGGGCUACCUUGGAGAUGGCAUGGAAUCUUGUACAUGAAAGCCCUCCUUUAUAAAGUCUAUGUAUAUAUCAGUCAGUAUUGCUAGUCCCCGAUCAUCUGCUUUAUUGUAAUUGGCCUUCCUUUCCCUGCUUCGUUUGUGGUUAUAUCUUUCCCUUUAUUAUGAACCACCAGAGUUGGAAAGAAUGGCAUCUAGAUUGCCUAUGGAGUCAGGAAACUUUUCUCUAGGUACAAAAAGCUCUGUUUUUGAGAUAGGUUACAGUGGUCAUUUGAUGGGUCAUUAAUAAUCUUUGGGCUUGGUGAAAUCGACAGAGAAGGCUAUAAGUCACUCCACAGGGUUGCAGUGGGACAGCUAGGCUCAUAGGACCUGAUGUAUGAACUACUCCAUGUGAUUAACUUUGACAGGUAACUUCAGGCCAGCUGGCAAGCUGAAGAGCAUUUUAAGUACAAAUAAUAGUUCUAGGUAUGCCGUGAGUGAUAGAAUAAUGGUUGUGUGGAACAGAGUCCUUUAAUCUUCCCCUGUGUAAAGAAAUCUGGUUUCCCUUUAAGGCCAGGAUAUCGCAACAAAAUCAUCUAACAAGAUAUCUCACAUCUUCAUUUUAUCAAGCCUAUAUCAAAUAGAGAACUGACCCCCAGGGCCAGGCUCAUUCAUCUCAGGCUGCAAAGGGCCUAGCAUGGUGCCUCACAGCAAUUUAGUAAUAACAACAAUAGUAUCAGUUAUGAUGAUGGAUACAAUUGCACCAUAUUCAUCCCAAUGGCUACAGAUUUACGAAGUACUCAGUCAUCCACUGAGAUAGGUCUUAUUGUCCCACUUAAUAGAUGAUGAAACUGAGGCUCAGAAUAGUGAAGCAAGUUCCCAGUUAUAUACACACCAAUGAGUGGAUGCCUGAUCUUAGAAUUCCUGGCCAGAGUUCUUUCUAAUAAACAUUUCUAAAGUUGAAUGGAGUAGGACAAAGAGUUUUCAGAUGACAUAAUCUCUCAAUGAGUAUUUUUUUUCUCAUUGGUUGAUUCUGGAGAUCCUCAACUUCCUGAGGAUGAGAGAGGCCCUUUAGGGAAGAUAUCAUAAUCUGUUUUCAGGGCCAUUUUGUAAUAAGAUGUGCUCUCUUCUUUUUCUUAAUGGUACUGCAAAUGUCAAAGCUAUUGAUGUGAUUUCACCUACUAUUGUCUUCUUUUGGUGGUCUGAAAUAAUUAAUCAUUAUUGCUCUUACCCUAAUGUGGUCUUCAAGAUCGAGAAAUGUUUCACUCUUGAGAACACAUUGAAAUCCAAUGAAAAACAUGGACAUCCUGGGCAGAGAGUCAUCCUAUAUUGAUGACUAUAAGCAGAUGCUAACCCUGCAUAAUGUUGUUGAGUUUGGCAUGGGGACCUAAGCAAAGGAAAUUAAACUCUGGAAAGAGUUUGCAAGCAUUAAAAAAUGGCACUUUCCUUUGCACAUCCACCAUGGCUUCAUGAGCUGCACCUCCUCUCCCUGCUUUGGCAAAGCAAAGCUCUACAAAGAAACUGGACACCAGGGACCUUAUUAUCUAUGUUAGCAUAAAAUUUGGUAACAUUGACCUCUUAGGGUUAGCAUGGAAAAUGCUAGCUUUUCACUCUAGGAGCUUAAUUCCUCUUUCCCUGGUUUUUGUCAUAUUUGCAAAUUUCAUUUGCAUCUUCCUUUCCCAUGGUUUUCCAAAGUCCAGACUGAGACUGGAGCUGUUGUUUCCAUUCAGGUGAAAAGUACAACCACAACUGACCAUCUGCACUGGCAUACAGUCAGGCGAUUGGCCAAGGAAACAAUUUGGAGAUUCCAAUCUGAUCCUCUCCCAUGUGAUCCCUUGUACCCAUUCUCUUUCUGUACCACACACAAUAAACUUGGAGAAUGUCAAGUAAUCCAUGUGUUUCCGAUUUGUGUCUUGAAAAACCUGUAUGAUUGUUCAGACUGAACUAUCAAUACACCCUUUCCCUUAUUGUCAACCUAUUGGUUAUUGCCCAUUUUGUAAGCAACAGUGCCUUAAGGCCAAAAUUGCACAGCACUAUCAAAAGAGCUACCAGAGAAAUCUCAUUUCAAUGCACUUAGCUUUAGUUUCAUUAUGCAACACUUAUUUCCUGAGUUUAAGCAUAAACCCAAGAUGGUCACCAUUAUGGCAAUUUUUCCAUUACCUUAUUACUACCUGUUAGUAUUCAGAUAUUUAAAAAUAUACCAAAGACCAAUUUUUAAAUAUCCUUCUCAUGGCAGACACUUUGCCUAUGAGAAAUCUGAAACGCAUUUGAGUUUAUACUUCUGUCUAAUUUAAAUAUUUUAUUCUCUAUUGAAAUGUCAUCUGUAUUUAAAAAUCUUCCCCAGGAAUUCUGAUGCACAUCCAGGUUUAGGAACCUUUUAUUUUUAUCCUUUCUGAUAAUCAACACAUGCAAUAUGGCAUUGGUGUGAUGGUAAUAGUUAUAUAGCAGAGUGUUUUCCAGAAUAUUAAAGAGACUAAUUUACAAAAAUCAUUCAGGUGUGUAUCACACCAGCAGUAUUCACCAUGUUGCCAAGAAGUCAUCCUGAGCUGUCUGCUAGCACAGUGAGAAGCUAUUUCAAGGUCUCUUCUCAAGAGACUCCCAGGCUGGUAGUGCAAACUAAAUCAAGAUGAAGCUAAUUGCUGAGCUCUAUUACUGGAGCGGAAAAUAUUGCACCAUCUUUGUUUAAGACUGAAUCUCCAUGACAACGCCAGUUAAGAGGCUGGGCUAAUAUUCUUCCUUUCCUUACUUAUAGAGCCACAAGUCAUAGCCUUUUGUGGGCAAAAUGAGUUGAUACAUCCUUAGGCGACCAUUUCAAGCUCCUUGGAAGGGCAACUCUGAAUUUGUUUAUCCAGGAAAUCCUCAAAGGGAUUACUGUUUUCAAACUUCUGUUGAUGAUUUUCAUGCUUUCCUGCCCAAUGAGGUACUGAGGACUGUCAGAAUAACCAUUGCUCCAAAUACCACUGCUAUUAAAAAUUCACUGUGAUUUUAGAAAGAGGCAAACUUGUGCACAGGUUAAGACGGAGGGUUAACCUGUGCACCAGGUCUUAGCACUUAGUCCUGGGUGCUAAGCCCUGCUUUGCCCUGUUCUCUAUUGUGAUGUGAGCACACAACUUAUUAUCUAUGCUUAUUUUUUUCUCUUCUUCCAGAUGAGUGUAAUAUUUGUAACUACCUUAUAGGGUUGUGUACAUUAAUUAGUGCAUGUAAUUAUUUAAAGCAAUGCUUGUUAUGUAAUAUAAUGGUCAAUAAUUUGUUGAUACCCUUAUUAUGAGUAUCACCGAGCAAUCAAUAUAGUAGCCACUAGCCACAUGUGGCUAUUAGUUUGGGGUUAGUAGAUGCAAACUAUGACAUUUAGAAUGGAUAAACAAUGAGGUCCUACUGUACAGCACAGGGAACUAUGUCCAGUCUCUUGGGAUAGACCAUGAUGGAAAACAGUAUAAGAAAUGUGUGUGUAUGUGUGUGUGUGCAUGUACACACACACACACACACACACACACACACACAUAUAUAUAUGAUUGGGUCACUUUGCUAUACAGUAGCAACUGAUACAAUAUUAUAAAUCAACUGUACUAAAAUAAUUAAUUCAUUAGAAUUAAAUACAAUUUAAAAAAAUUGUUCCUCAGUUGCACUGGCCAUAUUCCGCAUGCAUACAUAAGCUUAUGACUACUCUAUUGGACAGAGAGAAUAGAGAAUAUGGAUAGCAUCUCAAAAAAUUCUACUGGGUGGCUGAGCCAUAACCUAGAGAAAAGAAAAGGAGGACUAGAACUUCCUUUAGAGAGGAGAUAUGUUUUAUUCUCAGCAAUCUGCUGAUUGUGAAAAUAUUCUACAGACUCUCUGGGAACACUGAGCCCCAUUUCUUUUGUAGCGCCUAGUAAAUUGUGCUUUGCAUUGUGGACUGUGCGAUUAAUAUUAACAAAACAAAAAUAUUUUCCAGAAACAUUUCUCUCUCAGUUGGGAGAAAAGAUUCCCCAUUCCUUUUAUACACUAUUUAAAUUUCUCUGUAUUUAAGGAUUCUGUAGCUGCACAUAAUUCUUGAAAAGCAGGCAAGGUGGCUACUUUGUAGUCAUCAUGUGUCUCAUAGUAGAACUCUGCAGCUAGUGGAGAGAAUGAUUUCCUUAAUCACCACCCAAAGGGAAGCCAUGUGCAUGUUUACUUGUCAUGCCAAUGUUGCUCAGCAAUGGAAAAUACAAGUUAAAUAUUCAAAGAUAGAAACCCAGGCAGCAUGUUUCUACCACUUUUCACCUGUGUGUGGUCAAUUCUGGAAUUCUAACAUUGGCUGGAAAAUGCUAGGUCCAUUUCCUUGGAAUCAAAUUAACAUGUAUUAUUUGCCCUAUGACUGGUCAGUCACUGACAUCACUGCCUGGCAGGUACUUUGAGAAUGUUUGAGAAUGAGGGGGAAAUACAAGUACAAAGCAAAAGAUGUCUACAGUUCCAACAAGCCAAAGUUUUAUGUGAAUCUUAAACAGUUAGUGAUGUUAUGCAUUGUCUAGAGGGGUCUCUGCUAUCUGUUUAUAUUUUGGGAGAAUCUGUAAUGUAAAACUAGCAUGGGAAACUAAGAACUAGAGCCAGUAUAGUAUACUUGAUCCCAUACCAGCUCUAUCAAGCUGGUUGAGUACACUACAGCCCAGGAGGGACCUCUCCCAGCAUCUCUGAUGCUCAUUCCAAAACUCAAGCUGUAAAAGGGCUGCAUGGAAUUCCUGGCAGCCUGGUGGUUACAGAUUUGGCAUUGUCAUUGCCAUGGUGCAGGUUCAUUCCCUGGCCCAAGAAAUUCCACAUGCCGUGGGUGUGGACAUUUUUUAAAAAAACAAGGGUGCAUAAGGGAUUGAGAAAGCAAAAUUUUGAGCUUUCAUUCAAGUUAUACAUUUUUUAAGUAUGAAAUUGAUUAUAUUGAUUAUAUUGAUCACUACAUACUUUAAAUAAAAGUAUUAAUGAGUGCAGAAAGGAUUUUUAAAAAUCACACACUUAAGAAGUUCCCUUAUGGAGAAGUGGACUAACAAUCCCGAGUUGUCACUGUACCAGCUUGGGUCGCUGUGGUGGCAUGGGUUUGAUCCCUGGCUUAGGAAUUUCUACAUGCUGCCAGUGCCCUGACUCCCUCAAAAAAAAAAAAAA